RNAcentral lists this long non-coding RNA (568 nucleotides) under Vulpes vulpes (red fox). RNAcentral's name for it is "lncRNA (ENSVVUG00000008597.1)". Lineage: Eukaryota; Metazoa; Chordata; Mammalia; Carnivora; Canidae. The record is from RNAcentral.
AUGUCAAAGCCACACUCAGCUGUCUCCAAUGUCCUUAGAGGUGCUUAUCCCUUGAUCACCAUCUCAUUUUUCCUACAGGGUUUGGCUGACCUUUGUGUGCUGAAACCUACAAAAACCAGACCCUGGUCAAGAGCGGUUAGACCAUGUGAGCAGUUACCAUGUGACAGCAGACCAUUCUUGCCAAGGAUGGGAAGCAAGAACGUAGGGAUUGUGGCAAUAUGUUUAAUGAAGACGAUUAAAUCUGGAAAUCAAAGAAUAAUAUAUAGAAUGAGAAAAUUGAAGCCUAGGAAAUGUGAGGAAAUGGACUGGUGCCUGUGAUCUUCACACCCAGAUGUUUCAUAGAUCCAUCAGAGCAGGACAGGAAAAAUCAAGUAGCAUCUCUGAGGCUGUGGCUUCACUGUCUGUCCACUCAUGGAGAGAUCUGGGGAACAAAGAAGGUAUAUGUAGAGGUUUGUGAGAAUCUCAUUAAUUUCAAAUCCACCUUUUGACUCAAAGGAUUGAGUGUCUAGACUUUGCUAUGGUCAAUGGGCAGGAAGCAAAAAUGUUUUGACCGGAAUUUACAUACAGG